ACCGGAAACGGUGAUUAAUACCGGAUAUGACCACGCUUGGCAUCGGGUGUGGUGGAAAGUUUUUCGGCCAGGGAUGUGCUCGCGGCCUAUCAGCUUGAUGGUGAGGUAAUGGCUCACCAUGGCUUCGACGGGUAGCCGGCCUGAGAGGGUGACCGGUCACACUGGGACUGAGACACGGCCCAGACUCCUACGGGAGGCAGCAGUGGGGAAUAUUGGACAAUGGGCGGAAGCCUGAUCCAGCAACGCCGCGUGAGGGAUGACGGCCUUCGGGUUGUAAACCUCUUUCGCCUGUGACGAAGCGCAAGUGACGGUAACAGGUAAAGAAGCACCGGCCAACUACGUGCCAGCAGCCGCGGUAAUACGUAGGGUGCGAGCGUUGUCCGGAAUUAUUGGGCGUAAAGGGCUCGUAGGCGGUUUGUCGCGUCGGGAGUGAAAACGCCGUGCUUAACACGGCGCUUGCUUUCGAUACGGGCAGACUAGAGGUAUUCAGGGGAGAACGGAAUUCCUGGUGUAGCGGUGAAAUGCGCAGAUAUCAGGAGGAACACCGGUGGCGAAGGCGGUUCUCUGGGAAUGACCUGA
RNAcentral lists this ribosomal RNA (579 nucleotides) under bacterium. Its description in RNAcentral is "bacterial SSU rRNA". It matches the Rfam family "Bacterial small subunit ribosomal RNA", at positions 149 to 743 of the family's 1533-position model. The record is from RNAcentral.